UGGGGAAUAUUGGACAAUGGGCGCAAGCCUGAUCCAGCCAUGCCGCGUGAGUGAUGAAGGCCCUAGGGUUGUAAAGCUCUUUCGACGGUGAAGAUAAUGACGGUAGCCGUAGAAGAAGCCCCGGCUAACUUCGUGCCAGCAGCCGCGGUAAUACGAAGGGGGCUAGCGUUGUUCGGAAUUACCGGGCGUAAAGCGCUCGUAGGCGGAUCGAUCAGUCAGGGGUGAAAUCCCAGGGCUCAACCCUGGAACUGCCUUUGAUACUGUCAAUCUAGAGUCCGGAAGAGGUGAGUGGAAUUGCGAGUGUAGAGGUGAAAUUCGUAGAUAUUCGCAGGAACACCAGUGGCGAAGGCGGCUCACUGGUCCGGUACUAACGCUGAGGAGCGAAAGCGUGGGGAGCAAA
RNAcentral lists this ribosomal RNA (400 nucleotides) under uncultured bacterium. RNAcentral describes it as "bacterial SSU rRNA". It matches the Rfam family "Bacterial small subunit ribosomal RNA", at positions 355 to 772 of the family's 1533-position model. The record is from RNAcentral.